This 464-nucleotide ribosomal RNA is filed under the name uncultured bacterium. Its description in RNAcentral is "partial 16S ribosomal RNA". It matches the Rfam family "Bacterial small subunit ribosomal RNA", at positions 338 to 795 of the family's 1533-position model. The record is from RNAcentral.
CCUACGGGAGGCAGCAGUAGGGAAUUUUCGUCAAUGGGCGCAAGCCUGAACGAGCAAUGCCGCGUGAACGAGGAAGGUCUUCGGAUCGUAAAGUUCUGUUGAAGGGGAAAAAGAGCGGAGAGAGGAAAUGGUCUCCGAUUGAUAUUACCCUUCGAGGAAGUCACGGCUAACUACGUGCCAGCAGCCGCGGUAAUACGUAGGUGGCGAGCGUUAUCCGGAAUGAUUGGGCGUCAAGGGUGCGUAGGCGGCCUGCUAAGUCUGGAGUGAAAGGUACCGGCUAGACCGGUACAGGCUCUGGAAACUGGCGGGCUAGAGAGCAGGAGAGGGCGGUGGAACUCCAUGUGUAGCGGUAAAAUGCGUAGAUAUAUGGAAGAACACCAGUGGCGAAGGCGGCCGCCUGGCCUGUUACUGACGCUGAGGCACGAAAGCGUGGGGAGCAAAUAGGAUUAGAUACCCUGGUAGUC